CUACGGGCCGCAGCAGUGGGGAAUAUUGCACAAUGGAGGAAACUCUGAUGCAGCAACGCCGCGUGGAGGAUGACACUUUUCGGAGCGUAAACUCCUUUUAUAUAGGAAGAAGAUGACGGUACUAUAUGAAUAAGCGCCGGCUAACUCCGUGCCAGCAGCCGCGGUAAUACGGAGGGCGCAAGCGUUACUCGGAAUCACUGGGCGUAAAGAGCGUGUAGGCGGAUCAAAAAGUCAGAAGUGAAAUCCUAUAGCUUAACUUUAGAACUGCUUCUGAAACUCUUAAUCUAGAAUAUGGGAGAGGUAGAUGGAAUUUCUGGUGUAGGGGUAAAAUCCGUAGAGAUCAGAAGGAACACCGAUUGCGAAGGCGAUCUACUAGAACAUUAUUGACGCUGAGACGCGAAAGCGUGGGGAGCAAACAGGAUUAGAUACCCGCGUAGUC
Molecule: ribosomal RNA, 439 nt
Filed under: uncultured bacterium
Lineage: Bacteria
Description: partial 16S ribosomal RNA
Rfam family: Bacterial small subunit ribosomal RNA
Source: RNAcentral